Molecule: transfer RNA, 75 nt
Filed under: Chloroflexota bacterium
Lineage: Bacteria; Bacillati; Chloroflexota
Description: Chloroflexi bacterium (freshwater metagenome) tRNA-Gly
Rfam family: tRNA
About the family: Transfer RNA (tRNA) molecules are approximately 80 nucleotides in length. Their secondary structure includes four short double-helical elements and three loops (D, anti-codon, and T loops).
Source: RNAcentral
GCGGAAGUGGUGCAGUGGUAGCACACCUCCUUGCCAAGGAGGUGGUCGCGGGUUCGAAUCCCGUCUUCCGCUCCC